This 253-nucleotide ribosomal RNA is filed under the name uncultured bacterium. Its description in RNAcentral is "partial 16S ribosomal RNA". It matches the Rfam family "Bacterial small subunit ribosomal RNA", at positions 524 to 776 of the family's 1533-position model. The record is from RNAcentral.
UACGGGGGGGGCAAGCGUUGUUCGGAAUUACUGGGCGUAAAGGGCGCGUAGGCGGCCCGCUUAGUCGGACGUGAAAUCCCUCGGCUCAACCGAGGAACUGCGUCCGAUACUGGCGGGCUCGAAUCCGGGAGAGGGAUGUGGAAUUCCAGGUGUAGCGGUGAAAUGCGUAGAUAUCAGGAGGAACACCGGUGGUGUAGACGGCUUUCUGGACCGUAACUGACGCUGAGACACGAAAGCGUGGGGAGCAAACAGG